GCUCAGUAACACGUGGAUUAACCUUGGCCCUUGGGUUCGGCAUAACCCCGGGAAAACUUGGGGGAUAAUACCGGAUAACGCAUAUAUUGCUGGAAUUCUUUAUGCGUAAAAUGGAUUCGUCCGCCCAAGGAUGGGUCUGCGGCCUAUCAGGUAGUAGUGGGUGUAAUGUACCCACUAGCCGACGACGGGUACGGGUUGUGAGAGCAAGAGCCCGGAGAUGGAUUCUGAGACAUGAAUCCAGGCCCUACGGGGCGCAGCAGGCGCGAAAACUUUACAAUGCGGGAAACCGUGAUAAGGGGACACCGAGUGCCAGCACCAUAUGCUGGCUGUCCGGGUGUGUAAAAUACACCUGUUAGCAAGGGCCGGGCAAGACCGGUGCCAGCCGCCGCGGUAACACCGGCGGCCCGAGUGGUGAUCGUGUUUAUUGGGUCUAAAGGGUCCGUAGCCGGUUUGGUCAGUCCUCCGGGAAAUCUGACGGCUUAACCGUUAGGCUUUCGGGGGAUACUGCCAGACUUGGAACCGGGAGAGGUAAGAGGUACUACAGGGGUAGGAGUGAAAUCUUGUAAUCCCUGUGGGACCACCUGUGGCGAAGGCGUCUUACCAGAACGGGUUCGACGGUGAGGGACGAAAGCUGGGGGCACGAACCGGAUUAGAUACCCGGGUAGUCCCAGCCGUAAACGAUGCUCGCUAGGUGUCAGGCAUGGCGCGACCGUGUCUGGUGCCGCAGGGAAGCCGUGAAGCGAGCCACCUGGGAAGUACGGCCGCA
Molecule: ribosomal RNA, 766 nt
Filed under: uncultured methanogenic archaeon
Lineage: Archaea; Methanobacteriati; Methanobacteriota
Description: bacterial SSU rRNA
Rfam family: Archaeal small subunit ribosomal RNA
Source: RNAcentral